RNAcentral lists this ribosomal RNA (539 nucleotides) under uncultured archaeon. Its description in RNAcentral is "bacterial SSU rRNA". It matches the Rfam family "Archaeal small subunit ribosomal RNA", at positions 457 to 997 of the family's 1478-position model. The record is from RNAcentral.
GGCAGCCGCCGCGGUAAUACCGGCGGCUCGAGUGGUGGCCACUUUAUGGGCUUAAGCGUCGUAGCUGGGUAUAAGUCCCUUGGGAAAUCCGACAGCUUAACUGUCGGGCGUCUAAGAGAUACUGGUAAUCUUGGAACCGGGAGAGGUGAGGGGUACUUCGGGGGGUAGGAGUGAAAUCCUGUAAUCCUCGAGGGACCACCUGUGGCGAAGGCGCCUCACCAGAACGGCUUCGACAGUGAGGGACGAAAGCUGGGGGAGCAAACCGGAUUAGAUACCCGGGUAGUCCCAGCCGUAAACGAUGUGCGUUAGGUGUAUCGGUGACCACGAGUCACCGAGGUGCCGAAGGGAAACCGUGAAACGUACCGCCUGGGAAGUACGGUCGCAAGGCUGAAACUUAAAGGAAUUGGCGGGGGAGCACCACAACAGGUGGAGCCUGCGGUUUAAUUUGGACUCAACGCCGGAAAUCUCACCGGAUAAGACAGCAGAAUGAUUGCCGGGCUGAAGACUCUGCAUGACUAGCUGAGAGUAGAGGUGCAUGG